Molecule: ribosomal RNA, 2930 nt
Filed under: Escherichia coli
Lineage: Bacteria; Pseudomonadati; Pseudomonadota; Gammaproteobacteria; Enterobacterales; Enterobacteriaceae
Description: 23S ribosomal RNA
Rfam family: Bacterial large subunit ribosomal RNA
Source: RNAcentral
GGGUUGUGAGGUUAAGCGACUAAGCGUACACGGUGGAUGCCCUGGCAGUCAGAGGCGAUGAAGGACGUGCUAAUCUGCGAUAAGCGUCGGUGAGGUGAUAUGAACCGUUAUAACCGGCGAUUUCCGAAUGGGGAAACCCAGUGUGUUUCGACACACUAUCAUUAACUGAAUCCAUAGGUUAAUGAGGCGAACCGGGGGAACUGAAACAUCUAAGUACCCCGAGGAAAAGAAAUCAACCGAGAUUCCCCCAGUAGCGGCGAGCGAACGGGGAGGAGCCCAGAGCCUGAAUCAGUGUGUGUGUUAGUGGAAGCGUCUGGAAAGGCGCGCGAUACAGGGUGACAGCCCCGUACACAAAAAUGCACAUAUUGUGAGCUCGAUGAGUAGGGCGGGACACGUGGUAUCCUGUCUGAAUAUGGGGGGACCAUCCUCCAAGGCUAAAUACUCCUGACUGACCGAUAGUGAACCAGUACCGUGAGGGAAAGGCGAAAAGAACCCCGGCGAGGGGAGUGAAAAAGAACCUGAAACCGUGUACGUACAAGCAGUGGGAGCCUCUUUAUGGGGUGACUGCGUACCUUUUGUAUAAUGGGUCAGCGACUUAUAUUCUGUAGCAAGGUUAACCGAAUAGGGGAGCCGAAGGGAAACCGAGUCUUAACUGGGCGUUAAGUUGCAGGGUAUAGACCCGAAACCCGGUGAUCUAGCCAUGGGCAGGUUGAAGGUUGGGUAACACUAACUGGAGGACCGAACCGACUAAUGUUGAAAAAUUAGCGGAUGACUUGUGGCUGGGGGUGAAAGGCCAAUCAAACCGGGAGAUAGCUGGUUCUCCCCGAAAGCUAUUUAGGUAGCGCCUCGUGAAUUCAUCUCCGGGGGUAGAGCACUGUUUCGGCAAGGGGGUCAUCCCGACUUACCAACCCGAUGCAAACUGCGAAUACCGGAGAAUGUUAUCACGGGAGACACACGGCGGGUGCUAACGUCCGUCGUGAAGAGGGAAACAACCCAGACCGCCAGCUAAGGUCCCAAAGUCAUGGUUAAGUGGGAAACGAUGUGGGAAGGCCCAGACAGCCAGGAUGUUGGCUUAGAAGCAGCCAUCAUUUAAAGAAAGCGUAAUAGCUCACUGGUCGAGUCGGCCUGCGCGGAAGAUGUAACGGGGCUAAACCAUGCACCGAAGCUGCGGCAGCGACACUAUGUGUUGUUGGGUAGGGGAGCGUUCUGUAAGCCUGUGAAGGUGGCCUGUGAGGGUUGCUGGAGGUAUCAGAAGUGCGAAUGCUGACAUAAGUAACGAUAAAGCGGGUGAAAAGCCCGCUCGCCGGAAGACCAAGGGUUCCUGUCCAACGUUAAUCGGGGCAGGGUGAGUCGACCCCUAAGGCGAGGCCGAAAGGCGUAGUCGAUGGGAAACAGGUUAAUAUUCCUGUACUUGGUGUUACUGCGAAGGGGGGACGGAGAAGGCUAUGUUGGCCGGGCGACGGUUGUCCCGGUUUAAGCGUGUAGGCUGGUUUUCCAGGCAAAUCCGGAAAACCAAGGCUGAGGCGUGAUGACGAGGCACUACGGUGCUGAAGCGACAAAUGCCCUGCUUCCAGGAAAAGCCUCUAAGCAUCAGGUAACAUCAAAUCGUACCCCAAACCGACACAGGUGGUCAGGUAGAGAAUACCAAGGCGCUUGAGAGAACUCGGGUGAAGGAACUAGGCAAAAUGGUGCCGUAACUUCGGGAGAAGGCACGCUGAUAUGUAGGUGAAGCGACUUGCUCGUGGAGCUGAAAUCAGUCGAAGAUACCAGCUGGCUGCAACUGUUUAUUAAAAACACAGCACUGUGCAAACACGAAAGUGGACGUAUACGGUGUGACGCCUGCCCGGUGCCGGAAGGUUAAUUGAUGGGGUUAGCGGCAACGCGAAGCUCUUGAUCGAAGCCCCGGUAAACGGCGGCCGUAACUAUAACGGUCCUAAGGUAGCGAAAUUCCUUGUCGGGUAAGUUCCGACCUGCACGAAUGGCGUAAUGAUGGCCAGGCUGUCUCCACCCGAGACUCAGUGAAAUUGAACUCGCUGUGAAGAUGCAGUGUACCCGCGGCAAGACGGAAAGACCCCGUGAACCUUUACUAUAGCUUGACACUGAACAUUGAGCCUUGAUGUGUAGGAUAGGUGGGAGGCUUUGAAGUGUGGACGCCAGUCUGCAUGGAGCCGACCUUGAAAUACCACCCUUUAAUGUUUGAUGUUCUAACGUUGGCCCGUAAUCCGGGUUGCGGACAGUGUCUGGUGGGUAGUUUGACUGGGGCGGUCUCCUCCUAAAGAGUAACGGAGGAGCACGAAGGUUGGCUAAUCCUGGUCGGACAUCAGGAGGUUAGUGCAAUGGCAUAAGCCAGCUUGACUGCGAGCGUGACGGCGCGAGCAGGUGCGAAAGCAGGUCAUAGUGAUCCGGUGGUUCUGAAUGGAAGGGCCAUCGCUCAACGGAUAAAAGGUACUCCGGGGAUAACAGGCUGAUACCGCCCAAGAGUUCAUAUCGACGGCGGUGUUUGGCACCUCGAUGUCGGCUCAUCACAUCCUGGGGCUGAAGUAGGUCCCAAGGGUAUGGCUGUUCGCCAUUUAAAGUGGUACGCGAGCUGGGUUUAGAACGUCGUGAGACAGUUCGGUCCCUAUCUGCCGUGGGCGCUGGAGAACUGAGGGGGGCUGCUCCUAGUACGAGAGGACCGGAGUGGACGCAUCACUGGUGUUCGGGUUGUCAUGCCAAUGGCACUGCCCGGUAGCUAAAUGCGGAAGAGAUAAGUGCUGAAAGCAUCUAAGCACGAAACUUGCCCCGAGAUGAGUUCUCCCUGACUCCUUGAGAGUCCUGAAGGAACGUUGAAGACGACGACGUUGAUAGGCCGGGUGUGUAAGCGCAGCGAUGCGUUGAGCUAACCGGUACUAAUGAACCGUGAGGCUUAACCUUACAACGCCGAAGCUGUU